RNAcentral lists this unclassified non-coding RNA (201 nucleotides) under Hevea brasiliensis (rubber tree). Lineage: Eukaryota; Viridiplantae; Streptophyta; Magnoliopsida; Malpighiales; Euphorbiaceae. The record is from RNAcentral.
AGCUCUACAAGAUUAUGUACAGUGACAAGUGCUAAUUCAGAAGUUUCUGUAUUGAGCAAAGCUAGUAUGUGAGAUCCAGGAAUGAAGCUUCCAACCACCAUGUACACGUAUAUCGUAGACUUCUGAUCAGCAUCUCAACAUCAUGCAUCAGAACAUUGAAUGCCAACUAUAAUGCAAUAUUUCCAGAGAAGCAGGAAGCCA